GUAAAGUGAUAUUCAGUAUUUUCUAAAAUAAGUUAUUUACAAUCUUUUUAAUGAAAAAAAUCAAUAGUUGUACAUUGAACAAAACACCUAUCAUUUUCAGCCAGAAAGUUACACUCCAAAGUAUUUUUUUUAUUGUAUUUCAUGACCAUAUUAUAAAAGAGACUAUGUUUUUUCCAAAAUCAGUGUUCAAGUGGCAUUUAUUUAUUUAUUUAUUAUUUCUAUUUUUUGUUCAUAAAGUAAUUGAUUCAUAAAACAUCAGGUAAUAUAUCAAAGUUAUCUACAAUAUAGAUUCGUUUAUUUCUAUAAUUUAAUGAAAAGUGCCUUUUUUUUUUGUGUGACAUAUCACGAGGAAUAUUUUGGUACAGCUAUUUUAAGUUGCAAAAACGUUUCAAUAAGUGUAGACUAAUUUAAUACCUUACAGUAAUUAUUUUACAAUUUUAUCCAUAAUUAGUAUAUUUUUAUGGCUUUGAAUUUAGAAGAAAUUAUGGCUCAUGCCUUCCUUCACUCAUAGAUGAUGUUUUAAAAUCAAUAUCACCAAAUAGCAAGAAUUUGAUUAAAAAAAAAACAAUAAUUCCAAAUAAUUACACUUCAUGUCAUGGUUUGAUUGCAUCUUAUAUUGUGCUUGAUAAAAAGCAUGUCAUUCAUUCAUUAAUUCAUUUAUUAAUCCAAGCCAAGUCUUGACCGCAGGUGACACACAUCCAUGGUGCAUUAAGAAUAAGUGCUGUUGAAUAAAUGUUGAGCAGGUAACAGUUAAUGCAUCUUUCAAAGUGCAUUAAGAAUAAAUUGAUGUUGAACUUUUCACGUGCAUGUCAAUUUCAUUAUUGCACAAGUAUGUUGAAAAUUUCAACACAGUUUUUCUAACCUUACAUCAUAUUGGAUAAUUUUUGAAACUCAAAUUCUUUAUGUUUGUCAAUAUUUAAAAAUCAAAUAUUGUGGUUAGUUUUUAUGAGUGUUGUUCUUUCAUAUUCUAAAGGAGAAUUAAUUAGAUUUAAUAUGUUUUUUUAUUACAAUUUGUUUUACAUUCAAAAACAUAUGAAAAUAUAAUGUAGUUUGGAAUUUUAUAAUUUAUAUUAUUUCUUUCUGCCCUUUCAAAGGUUGAAAUUUCUAUUUCAAUAAUAUAAAUACUGUUUUAAAUUUAAAAGUAAAGCUACAAUAUUAUUAAAAAAAUUAAUUAUAAGGAUUUUAAGCACCAUUGAUUAGUCAAAUAAGAAGUUUAUUAUAUUGGAUUUUUUGAUAUUUUAUUUUAUUAUAUUUUAUUUUUUAAAUUUAUACACAUACAUUUAUUUUUUCAAAUCAACACAGUUCGAUUGAUAGUGGUAUUUCAAGUUAAAAGACAUGCACGGUAUACAAAAAAUUUCAUCAACAUAUAUAUUGUAUUUUUUAGAUUUUUUUUUUUAUAAACCAUUUUUUUAGAAAACUAUUGAUGAAAUCAUAACAACAUCAAAAAUUAAAUAACUAAUUAAGAAAUGAAAUGUUCAAUUAAAAAUAAUUUCCAGGAUUGACUGGCAUAGAAUUCACAUGAUGUUUUCAAAUUCUUUAUUUUGUUAUCUGAAAGUACAUCACCUAAAACUGAGUUUACAGCUAAAUGAAGAAGACCUACUCUUUUACAAUAUAAAAUUUCAAAAUCUUACAUGACCACGAUCUAGUUAAUGACCAUUACAAAAUAUUUAUUGUGCUCCAUUUACAAAGUUGUUAAGUCAUGUAUUU
Molecule: long non-coding RNA, 1707 nt
Filed under: Physcomitrium patens
Lineage: Eukaryota; Viridiplantae; Streptophyta; Bryopsida; Funariales; Funariaceae
Description: long non-coding RNA (PPAT_LNC010270)
Source: RNAcentral